GGUUUUUUGUGUUUGAUGAAAAAUCUAACCUGCCCGAUGGGGGUUUGAAUGGCCGCAGUAUUUUGACUGUGCUAAGGUAGCAUAAUAAUUAGUUUUGUGAUUUAAGACUGGAAUGAACGGUUGGACGAGGGAAAAGCUGUUUCUAGGGAAUUUAUUGAAUUUGGUGAUGUUGUGAAAAAGCAACUGGGGAAUUGAGGGACGAGAAGACCCUAUUAAGUUUUACAGAAGUUAGAUUUUUCUGUUUUCAUUUUUGGGAAUUUUUAGUGUGAUUUUUGUUUUACUGGGGCGGUAUUGAUGAGAUAAGAUCUUUUGAUAAGGGUUUAUGAAACAUUUGAUCCAAAAUUUUGUUUUGAUAGGUGGAUUAAAUUACUAUAGGGAUAACAGCGUAAUUUUAUUGGAGAGUUCUAAUUGAUAAUAAAGUUUGCGACCUCGAUGUUGAAUUAAAAUGUCUGUUGGGUGAAGGCGCUUAGCAAGAAAGUCUGUUCGACUAUUAAAAUUUUACA
This 503-nucleotide ribosomal RNA is filed under the name Paraphrynus viridiceps. RNAcentral's name for it is "partial large subunit ribosomal RNA". It matches the Rfam family "Bacterial large subunit ribosomal RNA", at positions 1832 to 2600 of the family's 2925-position model. Lineage: Eukaryota; Metazoa; Arthropoda; Arachnida; Amblypygi; Phrynidae. The record is from RNAcentral.